ACCCGGAUAGCUCAGUCUGUAGAGCCUGAGACUCUUAAUCUCGAGGUCGUGGGUUUGGGCCCCACGUUGGGCG
This is a non-coding RNA of Trichonephila clavata, 73 nucleotides long. Lineage: Eukaryota; Metazoa; Arthropoda; Arachnida; Araneae; Nephilidae. The record is from the annotation of a GenBank genome assembly.